UGGAGUCUCACUUGGGCCGGGUCCCUUGGGAACCAGAGUCACUAUUGGGCAGGGAGUGGGGUCACGCUAGGGCCUUGGGGCUGAGGGUGGAGUCUUGUCGAGGCGGGGGGCGGAGCCACUGCAGGAGCUGGGAGCUGGGGCACUGGGCCACGUCGCCGCGGCUGGAGGUGGAGUAGGUUCCGCCCCCUAGGUUUCUCUCUUUUGGGCAAAGCCGGGGGUCUCACGAAAAUGCUCGACGGCUGCGGAAGGUGGCAAGCUGGCCCGGAGCCUGCGCAAUCGACGGAUGAGUAAGCACACGUGCGAGAUGACGAUGAGAGGCGGGGCCAGUGCGGGCCGAGAGUGAAAUUCCCGGAUGAGGCUGUAGCGCUGCGCCUUCCAGUAGAGGUCGCUGUUGGCCUGUACUUUGCCGAAGGUAUAGCUGUGGGGACCAGAGAUCAAGGGUCACUGGAGGUCAACGCCCCAUCAGGAAGAGAGGAUGAAGAUUAGCUGUCACGCAAUAUCUGUUUCAAGCCCAAGGCAGCAGGCAGAUGUCAAGAUCAAUAAAGUUGGAGGUUAUUACAGGACGCAAUUAAUAGCUGGGUUAGGAGUGUCCAGGGUCAGAUGUCAUAGGUCAAGUUGGGAAAGCUAUCAUGAAUUAAGUAGAGAUUGGAGUCAGGUUCAAAAGUCAGCCUGGGGCUUCCCUGGUGGCGCAGUGGUUGAGAAUCCGCCUGCCGAUGCAGGGGACACGGGUUCGUGCCCCGGCCCGGGAAGAUCCCACAUGCUGCGGAGCGGCUGGGCCCGUGAGCCAUGGCCGCUGAGCCUGCACGUCCGGAGCCUGUGCUCCGCAACAGGAGAGGCCACAACAGUGAGAGGCCCGCAUACCGCAAAAAAAAAAAAAAAAAAGCCUGGACACAAAUAAUAAUAGGAAAUGAAAAUGGGGACAUUACUAUCAACCAUAUAGAAAUAAAAAGGAUUAUAAGAGAAUGCUAUUAAUAAUUGUACACCAACAAAUUAGAUAACCUAGAUGAAAUGGACAAAUUACUAGAAACACACAAAUUACCUAAACUGAUUCAAGAAGAAACAGGACAAUCUCAAAAGACCUAUAACAAGUAAAGAGAUUGAAUCACUAAUUUAAAAUGUCCCAACAAAAAAGCCCAGGACCAGAUGGUUUGACUGGUGAAUUCUACCAAACAUUUAAAAAAGAUUUAACACCAAUCCUUCUCAAAUUCUUCCAAAAAAUUGAAGAGGAGAGAACACUUCCCAAUUCAUUCUAUGAGGCCAGCAUUACCAUGAUGAUAUCAAAGUCAGAUAAAGAUAUCACGAGAAAACUACAGACCAAUAUCCUUUAUGAAUAUACAUGCAAAAAUCCUCAACAAAAUACUAGAAACCUAAUUCAACAGCAUAUUGAAAAGAUUAUAAGUGGGAUAUAUGCAAGGAAUGCAAGAGUGGUUCAACAUACAAAAAUCAAUGUAAUAUACCACCUUAAUAGAACAAAGGAAAAACCACGUGAUCAUCUCAAUUGACAUGGAGACACAGAAAAGGCAUUUGACAAAAUCCAACACCCUUUCAUGGUUCAAACAAAAACAAAACGAAAACUCAGAAAAGUAGAAAUAGAAGGAAACUUCUUCAACAUGAUAAAAGGUACUUAUGAAAAACCCACAGCUAACAUCAUACUCAAUGAAAAAAGACUGAAAACUUUCCCCAAAGAUCAAGAACAAGACAAGGAUGCCCACUUUUGGGACUUCCCUGGUUGCCCAGUGGUAAAGAAUCUGCCUUCCAAUGCAGGGGACGUGGGUUCGAUCCCUGGUUGGGGAACUAAGAUCCCACAUGCCGCAGAGCAACUAAGCCCGCACACCACAACUACUGAGCUCCUGCACCUCAUCGAGAGAUCCCUAGUGCCGCAAACUACAGAGCCCACAUGCUCUGGAACCUGCGCACCACAACUAGAGAGAGAAAAACCCGCGCGCCACAACAAAGAGCCCGCAUACCGCAACUAAGACCCGACGCAGCCCAAAAAAUAAAGAAAAUAAAUAUUUUUUUAAAAUGCCCAAUUUCACCACUUCUGUUCAUUAUACUGGAAGGUCUAGCCACAGCAAGCAAGAUAAAGAACUAAAAGGCAUCCAAAUUGGAAAGGAAGAAGUAAAACUGUCUCCAUUGACAGAUGAUAUAGCCUACAUAUAGAAACAGAAAAUCCCAGGGACUUCCCUGGUGGUCCAGUGGUUAAGAAUCCACCUUGCAAUGCAGGGGAUGACGGUUCGAUCCCUGGUCAGGGAGCUAAGAUCCCGCAAGCUGUGUGGCACAGACAAAUAAAUAAAUAAACUUAAGAAUCAAAGGAUAUUAUCAAGAAAAGGAAAAGACAACCAACAGAAUGGGAGAAAAUAUUUGCAAAUUAUAUAUGUGAUAGGAGUUUAAUAUCCAGAAUAAAGAACUGCUACAACUCAAACACUAAAAUACAAACAACUCAAUUUAAAAAACGGGCAAAGGGGGCUUCCCUGGUGGUGCAGUGGUUAAGAAUCCGCCUGCCAAUGCAGGGGACACGGGUUCGAGCCCUGGUCCAGGAAGAUCACACAUGCCGCGGAGCAACUAAGCCUGUGCGCCAUAACUACUGAGCCUGUGCUCUAGAGCCCGCGAGCCACAACUACUGAGCCCGCGUGUUGCAACUACUGAAGCCCGCACGCCUAAAGCCCGUGCUCCGCAACAAGAGAAGCCACUGCAAUGAGGAGCCCGCGCACCGCAACGAAGAGUAGCCCCCGCUCACUGCAACUAGAGAAAGCCUCUGCACAGCAACGAAGACCCAACACAGCCAAAAAUAAUAAAUUUAUUUUAAAAAAUGGGUAAAGGAUUUGAACAGACAUUUCUUUAAAGAUGUGCAAAUGGGCAAUAAGCCCAUGGAAAGAUGCUCAAUGUCACCAGUCAUUAGGAAAAUACAAAUCAAAACCACAAUGAAAUAACCAGUUCAUGCCCACUAGGAUGGCUAGAACCUCUUAAUAAGGAAAAUAACAACUGUUAGUAAGGAUGCGGAAAGGCUAAACAUAGAAUUACCAUAUGACCCAGCAUUCUAUUCUAGAAAUAUACCCAAAAGAAAUAAAAAACGGAGACUCAAACAGCAAUUGUGAACAGCAGUGUUCAUUGCAGCGUUAUCCACAAUAGCCAAAAGAUGGAACCAACCUAAGUUUCCAUCAUCAGAUGAAUGGAUCAACAAAAUGUCUUAUAUCAAUACAUCAGUAUUAUUCAGCCAUAAAAAGGGAUGGAGUGGUGGCACGUGCUACAACAUGAUUGCACAAUGAAAACAUUAUGCCGGACACAAAAGGACAAAUAUUGUAUGAUGUCACUUACAUGAAUCACCUCCAAGAGGCAGAUUCAUAGACACAGAGAGUAAAUUAAAGGUUACCAGGAACUGGGCAGGGGAGGGGAAAAUGAGAAGUUAACCCUUGCUUAAUGCAUACACACUUUCUGUUUGGCGUGAUGAAAAUGUUUUGGAAAUAGAUAGUGGUGAUGGUUGUACAACAUUAUAAAUGUAAUUAAUGUCACUGCAUUGUACACUUAAAAAUGGUGACGAUGGCAAAUUUUGUUAUAUAUAUUUUGCCACAAUAAAAAAAUUUUUAA
Molecule: long non-coding RNA, 3585 nt
Organism: Orcinus orca (killer whale)
Lineage: Eukaryota; Metazoa; Chordata; Mammalia; Artiodactyla; Delphinidae
Exons: 2
Source: RefSeq, a predicted model, not a curated record